ACUCCUACGGGAGGCAGCAGUGGGGAAUAUUGCACAAUGGGGGAAACCCUGAUGCAGCCAUGCCGCGUGUGUGAAGAAGGCCUUCGGGUUGUAAAGCACUUUCAGUAGGGAGGAAGGUAGUGUAGUUAACACCUGCAUUAUUUGUACGUUACCUACAGAAGAAGCACCGGCUAACUCCGUGCCAGCAGCCGCGGUAAGUACGGAGGGUGCGAGCGUUAAUCGGAAUUACUGGGCGUAAAGCGCAUGCAGGCGGCCUGUUAAGUCAGAUGUGAAACGCCCGGGGUCUUAACCUCGGAAUUGCAUUUGAAACUGGCAGGCUAGAGUCUUGGUAGAGGGGUUAGAAUUUCGAGGUGUAGCGGUGAAAUGCGUAGAGAUCG
This 377-nucleotide ribosomal RNA is filed under the name uncultured bacterium. RNAcentral's name for it is "bacterial SSU rRNA". It matches the Rfam family "Bacterial small subunit ribosomal RNA", at positions 335 to 699 of the family's 1533-position model. The record is from RNAcentral.